This is a long non-coding RNA of Leptopilina boulardi, 3274 nucleotides long. RefSeq lists it as uncharacterized. The transcript has 2 exons. The record is from RefSeq and is a predicted model, not a curated record. Lineage: Eukaryota; Metazoa; Arthropoda; Insecta; Hymenoptera; Figitidae.
UUUAAAAAUUACUAUUAAUAAAAAUAAUUUUAAUUUAUUAAAUAUGAGAAAUAUUUAUUUUAAAAUAGUCUCACAUUAUCAAUUGUUUACAAAUGAGGAGGGGGGGGUUAUUUUUAAAUAUAAUUCCCAACAUGAUAAUUAUUAUUUUUAGAAACAUUUAAAAAAAAUUUGAAGUUAACUGUAAUUGAUUUAAAUGAUUUUUUAUGUGUGUAUAUUAAUAUUAUUAAUAUUAAUAUAUUAAAUACCUAGUUGUCAUUUUCAGAAAUAUCAUCAAUUUUUAAAACUUUUAAGUUUAGUUGCGCUUAUAAAUUUAAGAUAUGCAUAUAAUAUCUACAAUUUUUAUCUUUACAAAGUUUGCAACUUGUCUCCUCACAUGAUGUAGCUGAAGUAUAAGACGUCUCAAUUCGUCUCACAAAACGCUCACAACGCCACGCAACCUCAGUUCUGCACAGGCGUCGCAAGUGGGCAAUAAUUGAAAUGCUAAUGUUACAGAAUUCAAUAAAUCAUAGUAAAUAUAUGAUUAUUUUAACAUUUUAACAGAAAAAAAUACCAACUAUAACAUAUAAAAAACGUAAAAAACAUUUAUUCUUAAAUACGUAAGCGCGGGUUAUCUUUCAAGUUAUCUUUUUCUACUUUUAUUGCAUUAAUUUGUUCCUACUUGAUGUCGAAAUAAGUACAGAAGAAAAAUUGUUUGAUAAAUUAAGCAAUUUAAUUGUUAUUAAUUUUGCGUAAAAGUUGAAUUUUUAGUUGAAAAUGGUCGCGCCACUAUGGUUUUUAUAAAAAUUAAUUAAUAUCCUAUAAUUUUCUUAAGAUUUAUAACCCCUUCGCUGUGAGGAGCAAAAUCUUAAAUGUGGGUCCAAAAUGUUAAGAAACUUUUUUACUAUCAAAAUUUUUAAAACUGAGUGAACUUAGGUUUUUAGGGUUGCUGAUUACGAAUCUGAUGUUAGUUUUUUAAAAUUUUAAAUGGCGGACAUAUUUAUCUAAAUUCAGUGGAUUUGCUUGAAACACGUUACAAGGGGGUUUUUGGGGUCGCUGAUUACGAAUCUGAUAUUAGUUUUUCAAAACUCAAAAUUGCGGAUCCAUAUGGAGGACAGAAAAAUUGAAAAGCAAUUGAAUUUAUUUAAAACUUAUUACUGAAAGGUUUUCAGUGUCAUCUAAAUUCAAAUUUAGAUUUUUGAAAAUAAAAACUUUGCAUGAAUUAUGGCGAAUAUUAAUAAUUUAAAUAUUAUAACGAAAUAAUUAAUUUAAUUAAGAAUUGUCAAUUAAAUAUCCCUUUUUAAUGUUACAAAAGUGUUACCCAACGUGAAAAAUGUCAGACGCCAGCCAAUUUUUGAAUGGAAUUGUCAAACCCGGAAUACCACAACUUUCACAAAUUAAACCCAAAACUUAAAAUCAACUAAAAUAAAUCUCAGAGGAGAUUCUGUCGAGAACGCAAGUCGAGAAAAGGAACACGACCCUUGAGACACGACGACAACAAAAUUGAACUUACCCACGACGAAACUCGCUCACAAUUUCCUCCCUGGUCUGCCCUCUCAGCUGGUGUCUGGAAGACGCCGGUAAGGAGAAGAUGGCCAAACACAAAACAAAACUCUCUUUUACAUACUUUAUUACCCCUUUACAAAAUAAAGGUCGAGAUUCCACUCGACGACUUUACAACUCUUCUCAAAAAUUACUCACUUCUACACACUACGAGAAAAACUUCAAAUUUAACUGCGACUUCCACUACCUCUGUACCCUGCUAAGAUCGCGUCCAUUGAAAUCUGAUUGAUUUACGCAUCGAUCGCCUUCGUCUCCGUUUUGUUCCAAUAGUGGCCGCUGUGAUGGCGCCACGUCCCGGACUUCUGCUUCUCCCUGACCCCAAACUCCCAAACGCGGGAAACUCAAACCCAAAUCCGCCAUAUUGGAUCCGCCAUUUUGAAUUUUUAAAAUCUGACUUCAUAUUCGUAACCAGCGACCUUGAAAACAUUUUGAUAUAAUUGUAUGAGAUAUUAGUUUGAUAAGAUUAUGUAUGCUGCCUGAGAUUUAAUGUAAUAAAAGUAUCCUUCAAAAUAGUCUACUAGUCCAUAUUGGAUUUUGGUUUUCAAAUUUUCAAAAUUUGACUUCAAAUUCGGAUUCAGCGUUGAAAAUACCAUAAAUAACGUAUGUGUGAUGUAAAUCUACUUAUUUUUUGUACCUUUUAUCAAUUUUUUUGUAUGUACGUCUAUAGACGUACCCUCACAAUCAAGGGGUUAAUGUGUAAUUUUAUGUUGAUAUUUUUUAUAAAAAGCAAUAGAAAAAUAAUAAUUUUGUUCAGAGUAUUUUAAUUGUGUAUAAUUUUGUUUUAAUGUUUGACUUUUUGGUGAAAAAUUGUUUCUAGUCUCUAUAUUUAUAAUCAGUAUUAUUUUAUAUUCUAAGAGGUUUUUUCAUUAAUUUGUUAAUUUAUUGGUUGUAGUUAAAAUUAAGUUUUUUACAAAUAAUAAUGAUUUAACAUUUGCAAACUAUUUAUAAGAAUGAUAAUAGUAUUGUAGAUUUUGAUUUUUAUAUUCGGAAUAACCUUUAAGAUAACUAAUUUAAAAAUAAAGUCAUAAUUUAUGUUCUUUUUUAUAUAUAAGAGUUGGUAUGUUUAUAUAUUUUUUAUGUUAAAAUGGAUAAAUAAUCAUAUUUUUACUGUAAUUUAUUGAAUAACAUAACUUUUAUCAUUUGGGUUAUUGACCACUAGCGACGCCUAUGCAAAACUGCUUGCGUGGCGCUGCGAGCGUUUUGUGAGACGAAUUCAGACGUCUCAUAAUUCAGCUUCAUUCUCACAUGCUUGUUAAGAGAAGAAAUUAUAAAACGUUUUUGAUACAUCUUGAGUUGUAUGGCAUUUAUUCAAUAGAAUAAAAUCAAUAACAAAGGAUUGCAGAAUCCAAUCGUCGAAUUCAUAAAAUCAUUCUGCUCGAUCUACCUUGUGACAUCGGAGGCUAGUAAAAUGGGUGUCUGGAGGGACAACAAAUAAAAUAGAACACGUAGAGGCUAAAGCAGAAUAGAUUCUUGAACGGAUAAAGAUUUGCUUAUAAUAAAGAUAUUUGCUAUCCUUCUCUUACUCAUUCUUACGUUUCCGUUUACGAUUGCGUUCCCGUUUAAGAAUAUAUUCUGCUUAGGCCUUAUCUCAAACACGUGUUUUUGCGAUUAAUUUGAAAUCGACUUUCAAGUGAAUGUUAAGUGGUAAAAAGGUUCGGUAUGUAAAUAAAAUAAGUGUUGCACAGUUGUGAUUCAAUUUACUUCACUAAAUAAAAUACUUGUCAAAAAAAACCAA